RNAcentral lists this long non-coding RNA (389 nucleotides) under Vulpes vulpes (red fox). RNAcentral describes it as "lncRNA (ENSVVUG00000000375.1)". Lineage: Eukaryota; Metazoa; Chordata; Mammalia; Carnivora; Canidae. The record is from RNAcentral.
UUGAAAACAGUGGGGAAUUGUUCCUGGUUGCUUAGAUCCCAGAAACUGUGAAGGUUCUCAUACCCCAAGAAAGGACCUUACGCCAGGUACCUAAGCACUGGACAAGACCAUGCCAGGGAAACUGCCAUAUGGUUACUGGGUAUGAAAGCAGCAAUCAGAAGACCUGGGACAGUAGACAAGGACAAUUGUUUGCCACCAACUAUCUCGCUCUCCAAUGGGACUCCCUUUCCCCCCAUCACAUAUUCUACAAUUGCAACUGGAUUUGCCCAAGUCAGGCAGGUUUUCCAGUGGAGCUAGAGGAUGUGUGAUGGCAGCUCCCACUAAGUAUAGCAAGCCGACCGAUACUAUGUGUUAAGUAAUAAAUACGUAAACAAUUAAUGUGGCUGUCA